This 84-nucleotide transfer RNA is filed under the name Verrucomicrobiota bacterium. RNAcentral's name for it is "Verrucomicrobia bacterium (mine drainage metagenome) tRNA-Leu". It matches the Rfam family "tRNA". From Rfam's summary of the family: Transfer RNA (tRNA) molecules are approximately 80 nucleotides in length. Their secondary structure includes four short double-helical elements and three loops (D, anti-codon, and T loops). Further hydrogen bonds mediate the characteristic L-shaped molecular structure. tRNAs have two regions of fundamental functional importance: the anti-codon, which is responsible for specific mRNA codon recognition, and the 3' end, to which the tRNAs corresponding amino acid is attached (by aminoacyl-tRNA synthetases). tRNAs cope with the degeneracy of the genetic code in two manners: having more than one tRNA (with a specific anti-codon) for a particular amino acid; and 'wobble' base-pairing, i.e. permitting non-standard base-pairing at the 3rd anti-codon position. Lineage: Bacteria; Pseudomonadati; Verrucomicrobiota. The record is from RNAcentral.
GCCACCGUGGCGGAAUCGGUAGACGUCGCGGAUUUAAAAUCCGUUGCCUGUAAGGGCGUGCCGGUUCGAGUCCGGCCGGUGGCA